AGUGAACGCUGGCGGUAGGCCUAACACAUGCAAGUCGAACGGCAGCACAGAGGAGCUUGCUCCUUGGGUGGCGAGUGGCGGCCGGGUGAGGAAUACAUCGGAAUCUACCCUGUCGUGGGGGAUAACGUAGGGAAACUUACGAUAAUACCGCAUACGACCUACGGGUGAAAGCAGGGGAUCUUCGGACCUUGCGCGAAGGAAUGAGCCGAUGUCGGAUUAGCUAGUGGGCGGGGUAAAGGCCCACCAAGGCGACGAUCCGUAGCUGGUCUGAGAGGAUGAUCAGCCACACUGAAACUGAGAAACGGUCCAGACUCCUACGGGAGGCAGCAGUGGGGAAUAUUGGACAAUGGGCGCAAGCCUGAUCCAGCCAUACCGCGUGGGUGAAGAAGGCCUUCGGGUUGUAAAGCCCUUUUGUUGGGAAAGAAAUCCAUCUGGUUAAUACCCGGGUGGGAUGACGGUACCCAAAGAAUAAGCACCGGCUAACUUCGUGCCAGCAGCCGCAGUAA
Molecule: ribosomal RNA, 506 nt
Filed under: uncultured bacterium
Lineage: Bacteria
Description: partial 16S ribosomal RNA
Rfam family: Bacterial small subunit ribosomal RNA
Source: RNAcentral